AAUGAUACUUCGGCUGACAACCGCCCGGUGUGUGACCGGGAUAUGGGUGCUAUCAUCUGAAACGCAGUGGUGACUGCUCCAUAU
Molecule: small RNA, 84 nt
Filed under: unclassified sequences
Description: dinG RNA
Rfam family: dinG RNA
Source: Rfam by way of RNAcentral